UUCAGCUCCGUUUCCCUGAGUACACAGGGAUGUGAAGACCCAUAUGACUGUUUGGGGUCUUCCUACCACUGAGCUGACCAGCAGAAAGGGGGAUCAUCAUCUUGGCUAGAGGGACUCAUCUCUCAUCACCAAGAGGAAGUUGGGUUUCUGCUUCAGAACAGGAGAGGAUGCUCACUGUGGAGGUCCCUGGGCCACCUUUUGUACCUCCAUACCUACUAGUGAAGGUUACAGGACACCAACAACCCAAAUUUAAGCAAACAUUCCAAAGACGACGGGAAUGGGCUGCUGUUGCUGCCAGAAGACGAGAAACUUGCCUGGGGGUCCUGUGGUGUGGAUUUUAAAGUUCUUAAAAAAUAUUUCUGAGGAAGAAGACAUACCCUGUCCUUUCUCCAGCCGGGGACAUCAGCAUCAAGGCUUCCUUCUGCUCUGGGGUCUGACUGUUCCUGCCUGCCACCUGCGAACCAGUGGUCCAAGGGCAUGCCCUGGGCCUACCCCACCCCAUCAUGUGGGCCCCAGAGCUCUGCUAGGUGCAGGUGUGGCCCCGAUUUCACACAG
This is a non-coding RNA of Peromyscus maniculatus bairdii (prairie deer mouse), 555 nucleotides long. The record is from RefSeq and is a predicted model, not a curated record. Lineage: Eukaryota; Metazoa; Chordata; Mammalia; Rodentia; Cricetidae.